Non-coding RNA from Paramuricea clavata, 1378 nucleotides. The record is from the annotation of a GenBank genome assembly. NCBI's taxonomy places the organism in Eukaryota, Metazoa, Cnidaria, Anthozoa, Malacalcyonacea, Plexauridae.
GUACUAUGCUAUUUUAUAGCUAUAUUUAUAAACUAUAUUUAUAUGUACCGUACUACAAUAUUACAUGUGCUAGUUUUAACUUAAGCGUUUGAUAACAAAUUCAACGAUAAUGCGAUUACAUAGUGACAAUACAGUUUAAAAAUUACUCAAAAAAUUAGUCGAAAAUUCUUGUCUUGGAUCACUUUUGUGUUUUUUUUUUCAGUCAAUCUAAAUUAAUUAAAGGGCAUCGUCCGUUAAAGGGGCAGUGUCACCAAUUUUGACCAAAAAUGUUUUUAUUCAAAGGCUGACCCGCUAAUUUGACAAAUAAACAUUAUAAAUAGGUUCAGUUAUGAUAUACAGGUCAUAUUAAACAACUUUGAACUUCUACAAAACAUCUAAGACGACGUUUUCAUACAAAUUGAUCUAAACUUGAAAAAGUGUGUGCAUGCCAACAAUGAAUCAAGAAUCAAGAUGUCAUUUACAGUCCAUCUCAAUCCUCAAGACCUCAACCAUCCAGACUUCUGUACAUGUUACUGUUUUAUGUUAUUUAUAUUGUUUUAUAUAUUUGUGAUUGUUUUAUGUUGUGCUUACAACCAUUCUUUUAGGUUUUGUGCAAGAUUCCUAAAGAUUUGCGAGGGUCAAAAUCGGCGACGCUUCCGUGAUACUCGGCCCCUUUAAAUUUUCCUGAGAGUACCAGUUGCUUGUGAAAUGUGCACUGAAUGAUAAAUAUUUCAUAAAAAUAGCCAUGAUAAGAAUACACCCUUUCGACAAUUACGUCACAACUACACUGUUUUCAACUUAUGACCAUCUUAAAUGGAAAGGAUUUCAAGUUUUUUUCUCAUGGGCUAUGCAAAGAGAAGCAGAACAUCCUUCUUCAACACAUGCGCGAAAAAAGUUUUGGAUUUGGAUCAGUAAAUAUGGAAAUAAGCAUUAACACGAAAACGAGGCUCCAGGUCAUGACCUGCAGCCUCGUUUUCGUGUUAAAGCUUAUUGCCCCACAUUUAUUGGUCAAAAUAAAUCAUUAUUUUUCAUGCGUGUGUUGAAGAAGGAUGUUCUGCUUCUCUGUGCAUAGCCCAUCAGAAAAAAAACUUGAAAUCCUUUGAAAACAGUGUAGUUGUGACGUAAUUAUCGAAAGGGUGUAUUAAGCCUCAUACUGUACAGACGGCAAUUUUAUUUGUUCGUGUGUACGGGAAAAAAUGGACAAGUUUCCCUGCCAAAGUUAUAUAUAUGCUCACAGCAGGUUUUGGAAAGGAAGAUUUGUUCGUCAGGUAUACGGCCGGCAGAGGAAAACUUGACAAGUGUACAAGAAAUACUACUAAAAUAAAAGGCCGCCUUGACGUUGACGUAAGAUAAAUGUUUACAGUAGCAACAAAACUUGUCAAGGAAAACUUGUUGACUG